This 1212-nucleotide ribosomal RNA is filed under the name Halomonas elongata. RNAcentral describes it as "bacterial SSU rRNA". It matches the Rfam family "Bacterial small subunit ribosomal RNA", at positions 38 to 1250 of the family's 1533-position model. The record is from RNAcentral. Lineage: Bacteria; Pseudomonadati; Pseudomonadota; Gammaproteobacteria; Oceanospirillales; Halomonadaceae.
UGGGGCGGCUUACCAUGCAGUCGAGCGGAACGAUCCUAGCUUGCUAGGAGGCGUCGAGCGGCGGACGGGUGAGUAAUGCAUAGGAAUCUGCCCGGUAGUGGGGGAUAACUUGAGGAAACUCAAGCUAAUACCGCAUACGCCCUACGGGGGAAAGCAGGGGCUCUUCGGACCUUGCGCUAUCGGAUGAGCUUAUGUCGGAUUAGCUGGUUGGUGAGGUAACGGCUCACCAAGGCGACGAUCCGUAGCUGGUCUGAGAGGAUGAUCAGCCACAUCGGGACUGAGACACGGCCCGAACUCCUACGGGAGGCAGCAGUGGGGAAUAUUGGACAAUGGGGGCAACCCUGAUCCAGCCAUGCCGCGUGUGUGAAGAAGGCCCUCGGGUUGUAAAGCACUUUCAGCGAGGAAGAAUGCUUGUCGGUUAAUACCCGGCAAGGGAGACAUCACUCGCAGAAGAAGCACCGGCUAACUCCGUGCCAGCAGCCGCGGUAAUACGGAGGGUGCGAGCGUUAAUCGGAAUUACUGGGCGUAAAGCGUGCGUAGGCGGCUUGAUAAGCCGGUUGUGAAAGCCCCGGGCUCAACCUGGGAACGGCAUCCGGAACUGUUAGGCUAGAGUGCAGGAGAGGAAGGUAGAAUUCCCGGUGUAGCGGUGAAAUGCGUAGAGAUCGGGAGGAAUACCAGUGGCGAAGGCGGCCUUCUGGACUGACACUGACGCUGAGGUACGAAAGCGUGGGUAGCAAACAGGAUUAGAUACCCUGGUAGUCCACGCCGUAAACGAUGUCGACUAGCCGUUGGGGUCCUCGAGACCUUUGUGGCGCAGUUAACGCACUAAGUCGACCGCCUGGGGAGUACGGCCGCAAGGUUAAAACUCAAAUGAAUUGACGGGGGCCCGCACAAGCGGUGGAGCAUGUGGUUUAAUUCGAUGCAACGCGAAGAACCUUACCUACCCUUGACAUCGUGCGAACUUUCCAGAGAUGGAUUGGUGCCUUCGGGAGCGCACAGACAGGUGCUGCAUGGCUGUCGUCAGCUCGUGUUGUGAAAUGUUGGGUUAAGUCCCGUAACGAGCGCAACCCUUGUCCCUAUUUGCCACGAUUCGGUCGGGAACUCUUGGGGACUGCCGGUGACAAACCGGAGGAAGGUGGGGGAGAAAAUCAAUCAUUCUGGGCCCUUCCGGGGGGGGUCCACCCCGCCUCAAAGGGCGGGCCAAAGGGGUGU